Molecule: ribosomal RNA, 462 nt
Filed under: Angiostrongylus costaricensis
Lineage: Eukaryota; Metazoa; Nematoda; Chromadorea; Rhabditida; Metastrongylidae
Description: partial small subunit ribosomal RNA
Source: RNAcentral
UAAACUUUAUUUUUGUUGUGUUACGGAAAUUUGUUGAGUAGUUUUUGUAAUUUUAGGUAAAAUUAAAAUUUGUUGUUGAUAGUUUUCGUAUCAUUAAGAUUUUUGGAAGCGAAUUAGAUUAGUACCUAAUUAGUAAAAAAUUAAAUAUCCAGGAGUAAAGUUGUAUUUAAACUGAAAGAAUAUUGGCAGAUUGUCUAAAUUAUCUUUGGAGGUUGAGUAAUAAUUGAGAACCCUCAUUAACUACUUAUUUUUUGGGCUCAUGUAUGAUCGUUUAUCUUAAACUUAAGGUUUGUGAAAUUGGAAUUUUUCCGUUAAAAUAGAUAUAUAUUUGGUUAAUGUAUAAGUUUAAUUUGACCUACAUUAUUUUGUAUUGUGGAUUAUUAAGGUAGUUUUAGUAUGAAAUUGUAAAAGACAGUAAAAAGGUUUUUAUAUCUUUUUGAAGAUUAUUUAGAAAUGGUACAA